CGUUUAGAAGGCGGCGUAAGCUGUCGCUAAGGGAUGGCCCCCGCGGUGCAUUAGCUAGUUGGUAAGGUAACGGCUUACCAAGGCGACGAUGCAUAGCCGAGUUGAGAGACUGAUCGGCCACAUUGGGACUGAGACACGGCCCAAACUCCUACGGGAGGCAGCAGUGGGGAAUCUUCCGCAAUGGGCGCAAGCCUGACGGAGCAACGCCGCGUGAGUGAAGAAGGUUUUCGGAUCGUAAAGCUCUGUUGAGAGGGACGAGAGGCAAGGCUAGGAAAUGAGCUUUGUAGGACGGUACCUUUCGAGGAAGCCACGGCUAACUACGUG
This 324-nucleotide ribosomal RNA is filed under the name uncultured bacterium. Its description in RNAcentral is "bacterial SSU rRNA". It matches the Rfam family "Bacterial small subunit ribosomal RNA", at positions 197 to 507 of the family's 1533-position model. The record is from RNAcentral.